AUGAAAACUAUUUUAAUAGUUCUCAAACUCUAAACCCCUUUGUUUAAACUUACCAUGUUGCUUCCACUGGACAGGCUAAGCUUGUAUUACCAAGUGAAGCCCUCUAGAUUAUGCCCUUGGUAUUUUCUAGGGAGCUGCCGGUGGAUAGAACCUAUAAAUUCUGUUUGUAAAACCUAUGUCUGAUUUAAAUAUUGUAAUAUAA
Molecule: unclassified non-coding RNA, 202 nt
Filed under: uncultured fungus
Lineage: Eukaryota; Fungi
Description: sequence contains ITS1
Source: RNAcentral